CUAUACACGAAGGUUGUCGCUAUUUAUAGAGGAAAGUCCGGGCAUCACAGAGCAGUACACCACCUAACAGGUGGGCAGUAUAUUAUACUGACAGAGAGCGCCACAGAAAAUAACCGCCUCAUACGGGGUAAGGGUGAAAAUGUGUGGUAAGAGCACACGGUGUAUAUUAGCAAUAAUGUACGCGGGCAAGCCUUGUACGAUGAAAUGCCCAAUAGGCAAGCAGGUAAGAGCUGCUCGCUCGUUGCUUGCGGGUAGGCAGAUAGAACAUAAGGGCGACCUUAUGUCAAGAUAAAUGACAGCACGCAACAGCAAUGUUGCGCACAGAACCCGGCUUAUGCAGUGUAUAGUUGU
RNAcentral lists this RNase P RNA (351 nucleotides) under Bacteroidetes bacterium 47-18. RNAcentral describes it as "RNase P RNA component class A". It matches the Rfam family "Bacterial RNase P class A". From Rfam's summary of the family: Ribonuclease P (RNase P) is a ubiquitous endoribonuclease, found in archaea, bacteria and eukarya as well as chloroplasts and mitochondria. Lineage: Bacteria; Pseudomonadati; Bacteroidota. The record is from RNAcentral.